UACGAAGGGGGCUAGCGUUGCUCGGAAUCACUGGGCGUAAAGGGUGCGUAGGCGGGUCUUUAAGUCAGGGGUGAAAUCCUGGAGCUCAACUCCAGAACUGCCUUUGAUACUGAGGAUCUUAAGUUCGGGAGAGGUGAGUGGAACUGCGAGUGUAGAGGUGAAAUUCGUAGAUAUUCGCAAGAACACCAGUGGCGAAGGCGGCUCACUGGCCCGAUACUGACGCUGAGGUGCGAAAGCGUGGGGAGCAAACAGG
Molecule: ribosomal RNA, 253 nt
Filed under: uncultured bacterium
Lineage: Bacteria
Description: partial 16S ribosomal RNA
Rfam family: Bacterial small subunit ribosomal RNA
Source: RNAcentral